CGGACGGGUGAGUAACGCGUGGGUAACCUGCCUCACACUGGGGGAUAACAGUUAGAAAUAGCUGCUAAUACCGCAUAAGCGCACGGUUCCGCAUGGAACAGUGUGAAAAACUCCGGUGGUGUGAGAUGGACCCGCGUCUGAUUAGCCAGUUGGCGGGGUAACGGCCUACCAAGCCGACGAUCAGUAGCCGACCUGAGAGGGUGACCGGCCACAUUGGGACUGAGACACGGCCCAG
RNAcentral lists this ribosomal RNA (235 nucleotides) under uncultured bacterium. RNAcentral's name for it is "partial 16S ribosomal RNA". It matches the Rfam family "Bacterial small subunit ribosomal RNA", at positions 99 to 334 of the family's 1533-position model. The record is from RNAcentral.